RNAcentral lists this ribosomal RNA (2891 nucleotides) under Pseudomonas aeruginosa. RNAcentral's name for it is "bacterial LSU rRNA". It matches the Rfam family "Bacterial large subunit ribosomal RNA". Lineage: Bacteria; Pseudomonadati; Pseudomonadota; Gammaproteobacteria; Pseudomonadales; Pseudomonadaceae. RNAcentral also lists the same sequence under 5 other names. The record is from RNAcentral.
GGUCAAGUGAAGAAGCGCAUACGGUGGAUGCCUUGGCAGUCAGAGGCGAUGAAAGACGUGGUAGCCUGCGAAAAGCUUCGGGGAGUCGGCAAACAGACUUUGAUCCGGAGAUCUCUGAAUGGGGGAACCCACCUAGGAUAACCUAGGUAUCUUGUACUGAAUCCAUAGGUGCAAGAGGCGAACCAGGGGAACUGAAACAUCUAAGUACCCUGAGGAAAAGAAAUCAACCGAGAUUCCCUUAGUAGUGGCGAGCGAACGGGGAUUAGCCCUUAAGCUUCAUUGAUUUUAGCGGAACGCUCUGGAAAGUGCGGCCAUAGUGGGUGAUAGCCCCGUACGCGAAAGGAUCUUUGAAGUGAAAUCGAGUAGGACGGAGCACGAGAAACUUUGUCUGAACAUGGGGGGACCAUCCUCCAAGGCUAAAUACUACUGACUGACCGAUAGUGAACCAGUACCGUGAGGGAAAGGCGAAAAGAACCCCGGAGAGGGGAGUGAAAUAGAACCUGAAACCGUAUGCGUACAAGCAGUGGGAGCCUACUUGUUAGGUGACUGCGUACCUUUUGUAUAAUGGGUCAGCGACUUAUAUUCAGUGGCAAGCUUAACCGUAUAGGGUAGGCGUAGCGAAAGCGAGUCUUAAUAGGGCGUUUAGUCGCUGGGUAUAGACCCGAAACCGGGCGAUCUAUCCAUGAGCAGGUUGAAGGUUAGGUAACACUGACUGGAGGACCGAACCCACUCCCGUUGAAAAGGUAGGGGAUGACUUGUGGAUCGGAGUGAAAGGCUAAUCAAGCUCGGAGAUAGCUGGUUCUCCUCGAAAGCUAUUUAGGUAGCGCCUCAUGUAUCACUCUGGGGGGUAGAGCACUGUUUCGGCUAGGGGGUCAUCCCGACUUACCAAACCGAUGCAAACUCCGAAUACCCAGAAGUGCCGAGCAUGGGAGACACACGGCGGGUGCUAACGUCCGUCGUGAAAAGGGAAACAACCCAGACCGCCAGCUAAGGUCCCAAAGUUGUGGUUAAGUGGUAAACGAUGUGGGAAGGCUUAGACAGCUAGGAGGUUGGCUUAGAAGCAGCCACCCUUUAAAGAAAGCGUAAUAGCUCACUAGUCGAGUCGGCCUGCGCGGAAGAUGUAACGGGGCUCAAACCACACACCGAAGCUGCGGGUGUCACGUAAGUGACGCGGUAGAGGAGCGUUCUGUAAGCCUGUGAAGGUGAGUUGAGAAGCUUGCUGGAGGUAUCAGAAGUGCGAAUGCUGACAUGAGUAACGACAAUGGGUGUGAAAAACACCCACGCCGAAAGACCAAGGGUUCCUGCGCAACGUUAAUCGACGCAGGGUUAGUCGGUUCCUAAGGCGAGGCUGAAAAGCGUAGUCGAUGGGAAACAGGUUAAUAUUCCUGUACUUCUGGUUACUGCGAUGGAGGGACGGAGAAGGCUAGGCCAGCUUGGCGUUGGUUGUCCAAGUUUAAGGUGGUAGGCUGAAAUCUUAGGUAAAUCCGGGGUUUCAAGGCCGAGAGCUGAUGACGAGUCGUCUUUUAGAUGACGAAGUGGUUGAUGCCAUGCUUCCAAGAAAAGCUUCUAAGCUUCAGGUAACCAGGAACCGUACCCCAAACCGACACAGGUGGUCGGGUAGAGAAUACCAAGGCGCUUGAGAGAACUCGGGUGAAGGAACUAGGCAAAAUGGCACCGUAACUUCGGGAGAAGGUGCGCCGGCUAGGGUGAAGGAUUUACUCCGUAAGCUCUGGCUGGUCGAAGAUACCAGGCCGCUGCGACUGUUUAUUAAAAACACAGCACUCUGCAAACACGAAAGUGGACGUAUAGGGUGUGACGCCUGCCCGGUGCCGGAAGGUUAAUUGAUGGGGUUAGCGCAAGCGAAGCUCUUGAUCGAAGCCCCGGUAAACGGCGGCCGUAACUAUAACGGUCCUAAGGUAGCGAAAUUCCUUGUCGGGUAAGUUCCGACCUGCACGAAUGGCGUAACGAUGGCGGCGCUGUCUCCACCCGAGACUCAGUGAAAUUGAAAUCGCUGUGAAGAUGCAGUGUAUCCGCGGCUAGACGGAAAGACCCCGUGAACCUUUACUGUAGCUUUGCACUGGACUUUGAGCCUGCUUGUGUAGGAUAGGUGGGAGGCUUUGAAGCGUGGACGCCAGUUCGCGUGGAGCCAUCCUUGAAAUACCACCCUGGCAUGCUUGAGGUUCUAACUCUGGUCCGUAAUCCGGAUCGAGGACAGUGUAUGGUGGGCAGUUUGACUGGGGCGGUCUCCUCCUAAAGAGUAACGGAGGAGUACGAAGGUGCGCUCAGACCGGUCGGAAAUCGGUCGUAGAGUAUAAAGGCAAAAGCGCGCUUGACUGCGAGACAGACACGUCGAGCAGGUACGAAAGUAGGUCUUAGUGAUCCGGUGGUUCUGUAUGGAAGGGCCAUCGCUCAACGGAUAAAAGGUACUCCGGGGAUAACAGGCUGAUACCGCCCAAGAGUUCAUAUCGACGGCGGUGUUUGGCACCUCGAUGUCGGCUCAUCACAUCCUGGGGCUGAAGCCGGUCCCAAGGGUAUGGCUGUUCGCCAUUUAAAGUGGUACGCGAGCUGGGUUUAGAACGUCGUGAGACAGUUCGGUCCCUAUCUGCCGUGGACGUUUGAGAUUUGAGAGGGGCUGCUCCUAGUACGAGAGGACCGGAGUGGACGAACCUCUGGUGUUCCGGUUGUCACGCCAGUGGCAUUGCCGGGUAGCUAUGUUCGGAAAAGAUAACCGCUGAAAGCAUCUAAGCGGGAAACUUGCCUCAAGAUGAGAUCUCACUGGGAACUUGAUUCCCCUGAAGGGCCGUCGAAGACUACGACGUUGAUAGGCUGGGUGUGUAAGCGUUGUGAGGCGUUGAGCUAACCAGUACUAAUUGCCCGUGAGGCUUGACCAU